GACAGAGGGUGCAAACGUUGUUCGGAAUUACUGGGCGUAAAGCGCGUGUAGGCUGCUCUGUGUGUCGGAUGUGAAAGCCCUGGGCUCAACCUAGGAAGUGCAUUCGAAACUACAGAGCUUGAGUUCUGGAGAGGAAAGCGGAAUUCUCGGUGUAGAGGUGAAAUUCGUAGAUAUCGAGAGGAACACCGGUGGCGAAGGCGGCUUUCUGGACAGUAACUGACGCUGAGACGCGAAAGCGUGGGGAGCAAACAGG
Molecule: ribosomal RNA, 253 nt
Filed under: uncultured bacterium
Lineage: Bacteria
Description: partial 16S ribosomal RNA
Rfam family: Bacterial small subunit ribosomal RNA
Source: RNAcentral